GACGAACGCUGGCGGCGUGCCUAAUACAUGCAAGUCGAACGCACGAAGUUGAAGAGCUUGCUCUUUAACCAACUGAGUGGCGGACGGGUGAGUAACACGUGGGUAACCUGCCCCAUUAGAGGGGGAUAACAUUCGGAAACGGAUGCUAAUACCGCAUAGUUUCAGGAAUCGCAUGAUUCUUGAAGGAAAGGUGGCUUCGGCUACCACUAAUGGAUGGACCCGCGGCGUAUUAGCUAGUUGGUGAGGUAAUGGCUCACCAAGGCAAUGAUACGUAGCCGACCUGAGAGGGUGAUCGGCCACACUGGGACUGAGACACGGUCCAAACUCCUACGGGAGGCAGCAGUGAGGAAUAUUGGUCAAUGGGCGAGAGCCUGAACCAGCCAAGUAGCGUGCAGGAAGACGGCCCUAUGGGUUGUAAACUGCUUUUAUGCGGGGAUAAAGUGAGGGACGUGUCCCUCAUUGCAGGUACCGCAUGAAUAAGGACCGGCUAAUUCCGUGCCAGCAGCCGCGGUAAUACGGAAGGUCCUGGCGUUAUCCGGAUUUAUUGGGUUUAAAGGGAGCGUAGGCCGCGGAUUAAGCGUGUUGUGAAAUGCAGGUGCUCAACGUCUGCACUGCAGCGCGAACUGGUCCACUUGAGUGUGCGCAACGCAGGCGGAAUUCGUCGUGUAGCGGUGAAAUGCUUAGAUAUGACGAAGAACUCCGAUUGCGAAGGCAGCUUGCGGGAGCACAACUGACGCUGAAGCUCGAAAGUGCGGGUAUCGAACAGG
This 767-nucleotide ribosomal RNA is filed under the name uncultured Haemophilus sp. RNAcentral describes it as "bacterial SSU rRNA". It matches the Rfam family "Bacterial small subunit ribosomal RNA", at positions 28 to 776 of the family's 1533-position model. Lineage: Bacteria; Pseudomonadati; Pseudomonadota; Gammaproteobacteria; Pasteurellales; Pasteurellaceae. The record is from RNAcentral.